This 20-nucleotide small nuclear RNA is filed under the name Arabidopsis thaliana (thale cress). RNAcentral describes it as "snRNA_11414". Lineage: Eukaryota; Viridiplantae; Streptophyta; Magnoliopsida; Brassicales; Brassicaceae. The record is from RNAcentral.
AAAUUCCGUCCAAGGCUAAA